UUGUUCUUGUCUUCUAGCAGAAGAAUUUCGUUGUCAUUGUGAGUUUGUUCUCGUUAGAAACGUAAAACUUGACAGGUUUCAUGAAGUGUUGCGUCUUAAACUGUGUAAUGCAACACGAACGGAGUAAAGUUUUCUCUUACUAACUGCGGAUACACUAUUAUUCUGGCGACAUGGCUGAUGGUGACAAUCAUGUUGUCAUCAGUGAACCUGUUAUUACAAUUUUUCAACUUAGUGAUUAUGCAAAAGGGUUGGUUGGGGUUAAAAAGGAGUUUUAUCUAGAAAAAUUAACAAAGUGUAAUAUAGACUGCCCGUAUUACAUUCCAAAGGAACAUUGGGUUUGUGAUCCAUCCAUCAUUGAAAAAAUAUCCCCACGCCAGCUGUCAGAACAUGACGUCUAUAUGUAUUUAAUUGCUAGAAGAAGUCAGGACACAGGACUUCAAUUAAAAGCCAUGAAAACUAUACAAACAGCCAAUUUCAUGGUAAGUAAUGGUUGGGUAAGUAAAUUGUGUGCUAUUAAACUUCGACAUGGGGCUGUCAUUUUUAAAGGAAAUGUACGACAUUCUAUGAGUUUCAACAGCAAGAAAGAUUUGUGUACAUGGGUAGCCAUCCAUGAAAAUGCUAGUGUUAUGGCUGGACACUGUACAUGCACUGUUGGGUUAGGUGGAGUUUGUACACACUUUGGUGGUGUACUUUACAGUAUCAUGAAUCUUAUAACAACCCCUUGAACAUCCAAAGAAAAGUCUAGGAUUUGUUCAACCAAAACCUUACCUGUGAACUUAAGUACCAGUAUUGCAGAUUUAAAGUGUGCAACUACUAACAACAAAAGUCCAUUGACUGUUUUAAAAAGACAAAAAAAAUGAUGAAUAUACCAGAAAUGAAAGAAAAAGAAAUAGAUGAAUUGAAUCAGGUGUUACUGGAAAACCGGGCGGUGCAGCUUCAUGUAGUAAAUGCCUUUGCUGACUACUUUACUCCAAAACCAAUCCCAACUCGGUUGAGUUCAGUAUUUAACCCUUUAUUCAAAAACGGAAAAACGCUAACAGACAUUUUAGAGGAAUGCAACAGAUUGCUAAGGAC
This 1074-nucleotide long non-coding RNA is filed under the name Daphnia magna. Its description in RNAcentral is "uncharacterized LOC116933511, transcript variant X2". Lineage: Eukaryota; Metazoa; Arthropoda; Branchiopoda; Diplostraca; Daphniidae. The record is from RNAcentral.